UCGGAAGGUGCGGCUGGAUCACCUCCUUUCUAAGGAAAAUAAAUCUUCACACUAUUUUAAUUAUAUAUGGACCUGUAGCUCAGCUGGUUAGAGCGCACGCCUGAUAAGCGUGAGGUCGGUGGUUCGAGUCCACCCAGGUCCACCAUAACUUAGCUCAGGCUAAGUUUUUGAACCAUAACAACUUAAAAACUAAUCAAAAUUUCUUAAACAAACAAUUAAACUGGAAAUAAACAGAAAUGUUUAUUAACAAAGGUCAAGUUAAAAAGAGCACUAGGUGAAUGCCUAGGCACCAAGAGGCGACGAAGGACGUGACAAGCUGCGAAAAGCUACGGAGAGGAGCAAAUAUCCAUUGACCCGUAG
This 360-nucleotide unclassified non-coding RNA is filed under the name Peptoniphilus asaccharolyticus. Its description in RNAcentral is "partial contains 16S ribosomal RNA, 16S-23S ribosomal RNA intergenic spacer, and 23S ribosomal RNA". The stretch from base 252 to 360 matches the Rfam family "Bacterial large subunit ribosomal RNA", at positions 1 to 109 of the family's 2925-position model. The record is from RNAcentral. Lineage: Bacteria; Bacillati; Bacillota; Tissierellia; Tissierellales; Peptoniphilaceae.